GUUGGGAUUGCUUCCUGACGUAUUUCAUCUCACAAUACUGUCCUAGUAGCUACAUAUUCCAUUGAAAUACACAGUUCGCCUCGCCCGAUCACACUUUUCGUAACGCUCUUGUCACGCAUCCAUCAGCUUACACCCCAAGUCAAUCGUGCUUUAAGAAGUUUUACUUCAAAAAUAAUCAAUAUAAGGUAAAAUAUCGUUUUAUAAAACUAUUUUUAAUUUAUUAAAAUAAGCGUACAACACAAAAGCCGAAAAAC
Molecule: unclassified non-coding RNA, 254 nt
Filed under: Melitaea cinxia (Glanville fritillary)
Lineage: Eukaryota; Metazoa; Arthropoda; Insecta; Lepidoptera; Nymphalidae
Description: misc RNA ENSMCXG00005006377.1
Source: RNAcentral